GAUGAACGCUGGCUACAGGCUUAACACAUGCAAGUCGAGGGGAAACGCCGGGGAAGCUUGCUUCCCCGGGCGUCGACCGGCGCACGGGUGAGUAACGCGUAUCCAACCUGCCUCUGACUGAGGGAUAACCCGUCGAAAGUCGGCCUAAUACCUCAUGGCAUCGUCUGCGGGCAUCCAACGACGAUUAAAGAUUUCAUCGGUCAGAGAUGGGGAUGCGUCUGAUUAGCUUGUUGGCGGGGUAACGGCCCACCAAGGCGACGAUCAGUAGGGGUUCUGAGAGGAAGGUCCCCCACAGUGGAACUGAGACACGGUCCAAACUCCUACGGGAGGCAGCAGUGAGGAAUAUUGGUCAAUGGGCGAGAGCCUGAACCAGCCAAGUAGCGUGCAGGAUGACGGCCCUAUGGGUUGUAAACUGCUUUUAGGCGGGGAUAAAGUGAGGGACGUGUCCUUCAUUGCAGGUACCGCAUGAAUAAGGACCGGCUAAUUCCGUG
Molecule: ribosomal RNA, 491 nt
Filed under: uncultured bacterium
Lineage: Bacteria
Description: partial 16S ribosomal RNA
Rfam family: Bacterial small subunit ribosomal RNA
Source: RNAcentral